CUCACGGCUCCAGACUGGUUCACUCAAGAUUUCUUAUCUGCAAUGGAACCACUUCUGUUGUGAAGUUCUCAGUCACCAGCAGGUGCAUUUUGGGGAACUUGCUAGAACACCACAUUCACAAACCCUUUCUCAGGCUUUCUGAAUCAGAGGUGUCAUAAAAUCGGUAAUCCCAUUGCUCCUGGGCCUUCCAUGUGAUUCUGCUCCACUUUCCAUGUAUCACCUUCCCAGAGGUUCUGUGAGAAUGACAGGAGGGCAGGUGUGAGAAGCUCAGACUGUGCCUGGAGCCUCAGCAUUGCUCAGUGGUGACAUCAUCUUCAUCUGCACCACCACAGCAGCAUCUCCUCUAGCAAAGCUUUCACUGCCAAGAGGAACUGGUCCUCAGAGGUGGAGCUGUCCUUCUCCUGGAACACCCAGCUCAGCAUUCAAACUGGGAUCAUGUGUUGGAGCAGCUGAUACCAUCCUGAAGCAAACAGCAGCCAGGAAGAAAACAGGAACCAUGCUUCCAGACCUAGGGUUAGAAAAGAAAUGAGAUUCUGACAACAACAUGCUUCAAUAAAACCUUAUUUCUGUCUCAGAAAUCCAGGCCACCAUUGUGAUAUAAAUCAUUGGAAUCAUUGUUUUAGUUCUUUCCCAAACAGCAUGGAAAGGGAUAAGGAUACGCUUGAUUUGAUAUAGACAUGUGGAGGAAUUUGGUCAGUCUACCAACAUGAUGAGCAAUUGCCGAGGGAUCCAUUAAUUUGAAUGUGUGUGCGCUGUGCACCUAGCUCACUGCAGGCUCUAAUACACCUGGUGUAUAAGAAGCUUAAAGAAACAUCUAAUUUAUUAAGAGGCAGCUGACUCAGGCUUUGUGCCUUUGAUAUUGAGCUCACCCAUGUCAAAUGUGACUUACGCACAGUGUGAUGCAUUGAAUAUACAAAGAAUUCUGCAAGAAUAAGAUUAACCAGAUAUCAUUUUCAUCGUCCAGUGUACACAAUAGGAGAGUGACUAUAGCUUGGUGCCUUCCUUUGUGAAAAUUUCCUGUGAUUUUCUCUUUAGAAUAUCUUGGUAGGUUAAAUUCCUAACGACAGUUAGGAAUCUGUCUGCCCCACAACUAUGAUGUUCAUUCCCAAUCCCAUCUCACUGACUCAAUAAGGAUGGACCACAAGGCUGUGUCAUUGAUUGACAGAGCCACUUUUAUAUGUGGGAUUCAAGGACAGAAUAGCCUGGAAUUCCAGGCUUAAGUCUAAAGUACUGGUGUAAUACUCAGAUAGUGCAUUUUACAGCAGGCAUGCUACAUGCUAUACCUUUUGCUCCUGCCUGGGCAGACCAAUGGAUUUCACUUGCCAGUUAAGAGCAUAAUACUGCUUCCUGUUGUCACUGCAGACAUGCCCAACACAGAUAAAGUUUGAGGCACAAGCUGAUACUUUCUGUUCCUGGACCUGACAGUCAACUUUUUGGACCCUGAUCACCAUUGGUCCCUUCACAUGCCUGGUGACUUCCUGAGAGCUCCAACCAACAUCAUUACAUCCUCAUUGACC
This 1517-nucleotide long non-coding RNA is filed under the name Cricetulus griseus (Chinese hamster). Its description in RNAcentral is "lncRNA (ENSCGRG00000024252.1)". The record is from RNAcentral. Lineage: Eukaryota; Metazoa; Chordata; Mammalia; Rodentia; Cricetidae.